This is a non-coding RNA of Microcebus murinus (gray mouse lemur), 3234 nucleotides long. The record is from the annotation of a RefSeq genome assembly. Lineage: Eukaryota; Metazoa; Chordata; Mammalia; Primates; Cheirogaleidae.
GGCGGGCCAGAGCAACUUUGGGAUCCCCCCUUCAGGCGUCCGUCCCCUGGGGCGAAGGAACAGUGUGGUCACACCUGUCUUCGGAGCGGCGGCGCGAGCGAGGCCCGGGCUGAAGAUGCUGCUGCUUCUGCUGCUCCUGCAGCCGGGCUCCGGGCUGGGCGCCCUGGUCUCCCAGCGCCCGCGCAGGGCCGUCUGCAGGAGCGGCGCCUCCGUGGAGAUCGAGUGCCGCGCCGUGGACUUUCAGGCCACUACUGUGGUUUGGUACCGUCAGUUCCCGAAACAGAGCCUCGUGCCCAUGGCGACUUCUAACACAGGCUCCGAUGCCACCUACGAACAAGGUGUCUCCGAGGACAGGUUUCCCAUCAAGCACCCCAACCUAACAUUUUCAUCCCUGACGGUGACGAGCGCGCGUCCUGAAGACAGCGGGGUCUACAUCUGCAGCGGCAGUGACACAGCGCGCGGAGGCGGCGGGGGACCCCGGCAAGAACCUCUGUAGUGGGCCAAGGGGGUGGGUGUGGGAGAUUGGAAAACCGCAGCUUUGCUGACUGAGACCUCUGGGUGUGUGUCUGUGUGUGUACGUGGAGACAGAUGAGGGAGAGAGAGAAGGAAUCCGAGAGUGGAGUGUAGAGGUGUCGUGUUUGCGCACUACGCGUUGGGAAUAGAGUUGGGCCCACAGAGUGGCCAGCUGACAUGGAAAAGUCCCCUGAAAAUGAUAAAGCCUGGAGUUUUGUCCUGACUCUGCCACAUGUGAAUCAUGUGUUUGUGGGUAAAUCCACCCAUAAUCCUAUAGGUAGAUCUGAAGACACUUCUAUAAAUCGCUGUGUGUCUUCUGUGAUAAACUUUGGCACUUGGCUCUCCACGACUGUUCAGCACAGUCUUGUCACCAUGCAAGGCCUCAAGAUACAGAGAAGCACAGAGCAGCCAAGCAGAGGGAGAUAGUACUGAAAGAAGCCAAGGAUGUGCUCCAGGAAGCCCUGGUUGGUGGAUGAACAGGCUACCUACGGCUGGUGCAAAGGCAGGGAGCAACCCAGAGACCUCAGGACAGAGAAUUCCAAGGUGCCCAUGCAGAGGUGCUGGUGAGUUUGCUCCUGACAAAGUGUCAAGCCGAAGAGAAGGCAGAGGGAGGGGAAGGAAGACCUCAGACAAUGCAUCUUGAAGCUAGGGGACAGUAAGUGCAGCAGUGAGGGGUGGCCCUGCAGAAAAAUCCUUUCCCAGGAGAAACAAAAAAAAAAUUACAUUGACAACAAAUCUGUAAGACCCCAUGGAAAAUGGGCAAAAGAUAUUAACAUAUAUUUAAUAGAGGAAACAUAUAUGAACAAUAAACAUAUAAAGUGAUAUUUCAUUUCACUGAUAAUUAGGAUCACAUGAAACAAGACAUGAUGAUACAUAAUUUUAUAUCCAUUUGGUUCACAAAAUAUAAAAAGUUUAGAGAUGUAAAAUGUUAGAGAGGGUAUAGAUCCACAGGAUUACUUGUAAAUUCCUGGGAACAUAAGUAAUACAAACCACAUGGGGACGGCUCAGCAUUAUCUCAUGUAGUUGAAUGUUCCUAUAUUCCAGGACCCAGUAAUUCCACCCCUAGGUUUAUAUCAGGAGAAGCUCUUGCAUAUGCACAUAAGAAGAUGUAAAUACAAAGUGUUCUUAGCAGCACCAUUCACAACUGAAAAACAUGGAACCAAGCCAAAUAUGCACUGACAAAAGUGAAUGAAUAAACUGUGGUCUAUUCAUAGGAUGGGUAACUAUAUACAUCAGUCAAACUACAAAUGUACUAGAGUAACAAGCAAUGUUAUGUGUGAAUCUUAGCAAUAUAUAAUGACAUAAAAUGCAAAAACUAAGCCUGAUGAGAUUAUGUAAAGCAUGAGAUGCUUUUUAUAAAGCUAAAAAUAGCUAAAGCAAGAAAAUAAUUUUCAGAACUACAAAUAUAUAAAAUCAUAUUAGAAAGGAAGCAAGGAACCGUUGUGUACUGGAGCUGGCUUUUACCAGGUCAUGAGAGCCAAGUGUGCAUAUCUUUCCCAACUCAAAUUUUGGUGACAUCAUUUUAAUAGCUUGAAAUAGGCCGUGGUGGGAGUAUUUACACCACAGGAAUUAGCAAACAUGACAAAUCAGGGUUGCCAUAUUUUCCUCCAGCAAGCUAGCUGUCAAACAUUUACCAACACACAGGGGAAUGGCAGGGAAUGAUAGUGACCCAAGUUUAGGAUUUUUAUAAAGCUGGGGAGUGGCAAGAGAUGGAAUGAGAGAAAAUCACAUAGCUAUAAAUUUAAAUAUUAUCACAGUCUAUCUCACGUAUUGUCGAGGAGAUGUUUCACAAGUACCUAUUAUAUUCUUAAAUAACCAUUUAUUGAUAAGCAACUCCUGUGUGUUGUGAACCACAGUUAAGAUUAAUCAAAUAUUAUGCAUAUUAAAUCAAAAGGGAGAAAAAUGUGAAACAAAUAAAUGAUGGGAUUAGAAUUCUUGAAGGAGAAGGAUGGAGAGCAUUGUGUAGUGAGAACCAGGGAGUGAAAUAGCAGUGGCUCAGCCUCUGCCAUCCUCAUGUAGGAAUCAUUCACAGUGAACAAUCUACCAACAAUGGACCUGGACCCUGGUGAAUCCCUUUGUGGCAGAGAGCAGGGGACUGAGACACCAAGUGUGGAAAUGAAGGCAUGGAGAUGAGACCUUGGCCCUGGCCAACGUGGAGCUGACCAGAACAAGAUGGGGACCAAUUCAGCAAUGGUCAUGAUGCCACAUUAUAUCUACAUGGUGGCCAAGUCCCUGGGUUACUGGUGAUUAAAAAUGCACCUCCUGGGUUCAGUCACUUCACACUGUGUCAUUGCCACUGAAUCCAGGGACCCAUUUUAGUUGCAGCUUCCUAUUGUCCGUAGCUUCCUACUUUGUCCGUAUUUUCAGCCUGGAGAAGAGAGCCAGUGAAAUACUUUUUAAAUAUUCCACUGCUUCCUUCACCAGCAGCAAGGGAAAGAUAAGAGUGUUUAAGGCUCUAGCAUGAAACACAGAGAAAGUGGUAUCAUUCCUAUCUCAUGCAGUCAUUUAUUUCCCUCUAUGUUAAGCUUAACAGCAGUUAGCAUGGAUGGGUGCCGUGUUCAGACUUGCCUUUCCCAAUCCAGACGGCUAUUAGAGACACAGCCUUCUAUCUCCAUGCAUUACCUUAGGAAAAUAGGGUAAUAGCUUUGAAUAGCAUUGACUAUAAUUCAGUCCAAAUUUGUGUUCUGUCAUCCUGCGACAAGCACCAUCAAAAAGUAAAAA